UAUCAUUGGAAGGAUUGUAUGAUUGAAUAUUGAAUUGAGAAAAAUGUUAUUCAUAAAUGUUGUAUCAGGUAUCUUUGCAGCUACAAUGGCAGCAUUUAGAACAAGGCUGGGAUCAGCAAAGCCAAUAAGUCGGGCUGAGAACACUCGCCAGUAUGUGAACCAGCAUAAAAGAGAAAGAAGAGAUUAGUUCUUCAAAGAUAUAGAGCUGGUAUAUCUGAUGAGGAUGAUGAAGAAGUGUUUAUUGUAGAGGAUAAUAUUCUUCCAACUGAAACACAAGACUUGACCGAACUCGUCAAGAAACUGAUGGAGGAAAAUACAUGCCUUAAGAAGAAUUGUAUGACUAUGGAAAAAGAUAAAUUGAUUCUGAAAAGGGCUGUAUUGCAGGAGGAACUCGCCGAUCAUCAUACGUCUGGAAGCCAUGAGAGAACUCUUGUAAAAGACAUAGCAACCGCUAUGCAAUAAUUGAAAGACGAAGAGGCCAGUAAGAGGUGGAAAUUGAAGAGGAUUCUCCACAACAACCACCAUCGCCGCAACCUCAAGUGCAGAAAACUCAAUUGAGCGAACCUAUAUUGCUGCAACCUCUACUGCAGCAGGUUCCGAAUCCCGUAGGGUAAGUCAAAGCGUCUUUUUAUCUAUAAAUGCUAUUAUCAUAUGUUAAACUUAUAUUUAUGGGUCUUAUAUAUUAAGCAACAGUGUAAAAUCUUCAUUUUAAUUAUGACACUUCUCACAUUUUCCCUACUCUACCAUAAAUUUGUCAACCUUUUUUUAGAAUGGGUAAAUUUUUUAUGCAAGUCAAUAUCUUGAGUCCCAUAACAUAGUACAGUCAAACCCCGCUAUUGUGAACCUUCAGUGGACCGAAAUUUCGGUUCACUAUAACCGGAACUUCACUGUAACCAUUCCGCAACCGAUUUUUACUAAUGGUUCCAAACGCCUCCCUUUUAUUACACAUUAUUAUAAUGUAUUAACCCUUAGUGGUCAAGUUUACUCCCCUUCAAGUUCAACUGUGGACACAAAUUUUUUAAAGUAAAGAUUUAAUUUGUAAAACUAAAUUAUAAUUAUUAUGCGAAUUGAAAUAUUAAUUA
Non-coding RNA from Parasteatoda tepidariorum (common house spider), 1082 nucleotides. The record is from RefSeq and is a predicted model, not a curated record. NCBI's taxonomy places the organism in Eukaryota, Metazoa, Arthropoda, Arachnida, Araneae, Theridiidae.